GGAAGUUUAGCUCAGCUGGGAGAGCAUCUGCCCUACAAGCAGAGGGUCAUAGGUUCGAACCCUAUAACUUCCACCA
RNAcentral lists this transfer RNA (76 nucleotides) under Clostridia bacterium. Its description in RNAcentral is "tRNA-Val". It matches the Rfam family "tRNA". Rfam says of the family: Transfer RNA (tRNA) molecules are approximately 80 nucleotides in length. Their secondary structure includes four short double-helical elements and three loops (D, anti-codon, and T loops). The record is from RNAcentral. RNAcentral also lists the same sequence under 1 other name. Lineage: Bacteria; Bacillati; Bacillota; Clostridia.